Molecule: non-coding RNA, 270 nt
Filed under: Pongo abelii (Sumatran orangutan)
Lineage: Eukaryota; Metazoa; Chordata; Mammalia; Primates; Hominidae
Source: RNAcentral
ACAAACAACAUACAAAAACUCACUCUGUCUCCCAGGCUGGAGUGCAAUGGCACGAUCUCGGCUUACUGCAACCUCUGCCUCCCGAGUUCAGGAGGGCUCUGAGAGAUUUCAUUUCUGUCCUGCUGAUGAAGUCUACGUUCAUUCAGGGCCUGCUGUGGAAGACCAGCCCCAAAGUUGCUGAACAGAAGUCUUUUGAGAGUCAGCAGAAAUCUUCCACUUUGCAUGGUUCUCUUGAUGUGAAAUCAUCUAUAUAGCCCCAGAAUUGGAAAA